This 463-nucleotide ribosomal RNA is filed under the name uncultured bacterium. RNAcentral describes it as "bacterial SSU rRNA". It matches the Rfam family "Bacterial small subunit ribosomal RNA", at positions 32 to 507 of the family's 1533-position model. The record is from RNAcentral.
AAUCAACGCUGGCGGCGUGCCUCAGACAUGCAAGUCGAACGAUUAAAGCUCUCUUCGGAGAGUGUAUAGAGUGGCGCACGGGUGAGUAACACGUAAGUAAUCUACCCUCGAGUGGGGAAUAACAACCGGAAACGGUUGCUAAUACCGCAUAAUGCAGCGGCACCGCAAGGUGACAGUUGUUAAAGAUUUAUCGCUUGAGGAGGAGCUUGCGGCAGAUUAGCUAGUUGGUAGGGUAACGGCUUACCAAGGCUACGAUCUGUAACCGGUCUAAGAGGACGGUCGGUCACACUGACACUGAAUAACGGGUCAGACUCCUACGGGAGGCAGCAGUCGGGAAUUUUGGGCAAUGGGCGAAAGCCUGACCCAGCAACGCCGCGUGAAGGAUGAAGUAUUUCGGUAUGUAAACUUCGAAGAAUAGGAAGAUUAAUGACGGUACUAUUUAUAAGGUCCGGCUAACUACGUG